GAUGCUUUUUAAAGGGAGAAAAGAGGCCGGCGCCCUAGGCAUUGGAAUCCCUCUCCUCUCCAGCCGUGGCCUCCUCUUUUCCCUUUGGUUUCAGCCGCCAUCAGCAAGGGAAGAAAACUCUUGGCGUCUCCCUCCUCUUGGGUUUCUUCCUUGGCUCGAACGCAUGAAAAGAGAAGAAGGCUGUCAAGGGCUUUGAUCUUCUUCCUCUUCUUCAUCCUUCUUCUUCCUCCUCUCAAGUACAUUCAAGAGUUGAAAGAAAGAGAGGAGAUCAGCCAUCAAAAGAUAUCUCUGCAAGGGAGCUAGCACCCCGGUGAGAUAGAGAGCUUGGAUCGGUUCCUGCUUCAUGUGGAUACCCGUAGAGGCCGGGCACUUGAACGGCUUCAAGCGAACCUCCAUCCUAAACUACGAACUUCAGUUUGCGGUGAUCAUCUACCCGCACAAGGUGAAGAUCUGAUCUUCUAAUGUUUUUAAAAAGUUUUUAAUCCUUACCUAACUACGAACGGUUAUCAAACGAUGUUCAUGCGAUGAACGUCGAUCCCGCACAUGCCCCUUCCGCUGCCAUCUGAUUUUGUUUUGAAAUAUCAGUGGCAUGGGCGGGUUCUAACAGUAAAUUCUCGGGAGUCCGAGGUCGAAUCCUCAGGGAACAAAAUAUAUAUGAGAUUAUUUAAUAUAAUUGUAGAUUAAUUAAUUCAAUAAAUUUACGGCUUAAGAUAAUGUUUUGCAAAUAGAAAAUAAAUCAGUAAACAGAGAAUCGAAAUUGGAUAGAUUAAGAUGGUGUAGGGAUCUGGAAUCCCCCUUGAUGAUAUUAUUUUCAACAAUUAAAUUCCGU
This 829-nucleotide long non-coding RNA is filed under the name Phoenix dactylifera (date palm). RNAcentral describes it as "long non-coding RNA (PDAC_LNC016355)". The record is from RNAcentral. Lineage: Eukaryota; Viridiplantae; Streptophyta; Magnoliopsida; Arecales; Arecaceae.